ACAAAUCCAAAUAUUGUGUGUGUAUGGGGUUUUACUCUAUAUAUAUAACAAAUAUUAAACCGCCAAAAGAUGGAAACGUCUUUUGGUGUUUAUAUAAAUACAUGUUGUGUUGACAAGUGUGAGUGACUUUUAAAAUUAUUGA
RNAcentral lists this unclassified non-coding RNA (142 nucleotides) under uncultured Rozellomycota. Its description in RNAcentral is "uncultured Cryptomycota sequence contains ITS1". The record is from RNAcentral. Lineage: Eukaryota; Fungi; Rozellomycota.